Molecule: long non-coding RNA, 890 nt
Filed under: Brassica rapa (field mustard)
Lineage: Eukaryota; Viridiplantae; Streptophyta; Magnoliopsida; Brassicales; Brassicaceae
Description: long non-coding RNA (BRAP_LNC001304)
Source: RNAcentral
GGGCAGUCUCUCUGAAAGAGGUUUUGAAAACAGCAGGGACUCACAUGAUUUAAAACUUAGAAUCAUCACCUCUACAAUAUUGCAAUCAAUAUCUAAGAAGUCCUAAUCACAGAAGCACAUUAUACAAUAUCAUAGCUUAGCAACCAAAUUCACCUAGCCAACAUCUUAGCAAAUCAUGUCUGACAUUCCCCUCUACCAACCUCAUUUCUUAACAUAAAUAAAUGUGUAUGCUUUACCUUGGGAGUAUCGAUCACAAGACACAUGGACUCUUACCCCAACAGGUAUCUGAGUAAACAGGUAGUCUUGUUCUGGUUUCUUUUACUCUAUAUCUCCUUUCUCUGAAUCCUUUUUAUCUCAAUUCCAAUGAAAAAAGAUGCUGAUGCACUCCAUCUUAUUCACCUUCUUUUCGAUUUUUUUUAUUAUUAUUAUUAUUUUUGUUUUUUUUUCUUUUUCUUUUCUUGACAAAGUGUAGGCGAAUAGUGGGGUCAUCGGUAAUGUACCUACCCCUCGCUUCCAACAAUGUGUGAUCAUUCUAUUAGAGUAGAAUAAUGAGGUCAUCGGUAAUGUACCUACCUCUAAACCACAAGAAAUCAUCUCAAUCUUUUAUUUUAUUUUUAUUAGGAUGCCAAAGGGAGGAGAUAAAGAAACCAAAAUCACUCAGACUUUUACCUUUCAGACCUGAAGGAGGAAUCCGAUCCAGUGUAUACCAAGCCCCAAGACAAGCAGUUAAGUCAAAUUAGGUUGGAGGUGAGCUUCGGUUCCUUCAAACAAUCUCAGCAAGUGUGAACAUAAUUGACAGGUUGAUCCACUUUAGUAUCUUUAGUACUAUCUGUAAUCAGUAAGUCUAGAAUGGUGCUAAAGAGUGGUUAGAUAACAAGCAUGAAUCUAAU